This 507-nucleotide ribosomal RNA is filed under the name uncultured bacterium. RNAcentral describes it as "partial 16S ribosomal RNA". It matches the Rfam family "Bacterial small subunit ribosomal RNA", at positions 28 to 507 of the family's 1533-position model. The record is from RNAcentral.
GACGAACGCUGGCGGCGUGCCUAAUACAUGCAAGUCGAACGCAUUUUCUUUCACCGUAGCUUGCUACACCGAAAGAAAAUGAGUGGCGAACGGGUGAGUAACACGUGGGUAACCUGCCCAUCAGCGGGGGAUAACACUUGGAAACAGGUGCUAAUACCGCAUAAUUCCAUUUACUGCAUGGUAGAUGGAUGAAAGGCGCUUUUGCGUCACUGAUGGAUGGACCCGCGGUGCAUUAGCUAGUUGGAGGGGUAACGGCCUACCAAGGCUGCGAUGCAUAGCCGACCUGGGAGGGUGAUCGGCCACACUGGGACUGGAAAACGGCCCAGACUCCUACGGGAGGCAGCAGUAGGGAAUCUUCGGCAAUGGACGCAAGUCUGACCGAACAACGCCGCGUGAGUGAAGAAGGUUUUCGGAUCGUAAAACUCUGUUGUUAGAAAAGAACAAGGAUGAGAGUGGAAAGUUCAUCCCUUGACGGUAUCUAACCAGAAAGCCACGGCUAACUACGUG